Molecule: long non-coding RNA, 999 nt
Filed under: Oreochromis niloticus (Nile tilapia)
Lineage: Eukaryota; Metazoa; Chordata; Actinopteri; Cichliformes; Cichlidae
Description: lncRNA (ENSONIG00000036560.1)
Source: RNAcentral
AUGAUGUCAUACCUGUGGAUUCUGCUAUUAGGAAGCCUGCUGGCUACGCACGCCAAGGCACAAGACGAUAUAAUCCCAACAGUAGAGCCAUCUAUUGAAACUCCCACAUCUAAAGCAGAUGUAGAGGUCAUCGACCAACAUAACCUUGAGGAGGCAGUCACUGCAACUGAGGAAGUAUUGCAGCCUGAGCCCACUGCUGACCCUGAGACUGAAUUAAUCCAAGAAGCAAAUGCUGCAGAUGUAAGCACAGAGCCAGUGGCUACAGAUGCUCCUGCAGGUGAGGAGGGGGAAUCAGCAAGUCCUACGACUGGAGAAACAGAAGCAAUUAUUUCUGAAGCAGCUACAACCACACAAGCUGCUGAUUCUGAGGAUGACGCUCCAGAAGCUACGCAAACAGCAGUUAAUGAGGAGGAGCAACCCACCACAAAUGCGAAUACAACACCUGCUCAAGACAAGAGUGGACUUCAUGACAUCAUAACAACAGUAGGUCUAGAAACCAAUGAGGAGGCACCAACUGAUCCAUCUGCUAAUGAAGAGUCAUCCACAGAUGAUUUCACAACAUUCGCAGAUGAAACUGUCACUAUGAAUCCAGGGUUUAACAUUGAGAAGACGUCAAUUGCAGAGCAGGAAACACAUGGGUCAAACCAGGAAACUCACGUGAAGGGCAGGAUGGGACCACAGCUGAAUUCAGGUGUGUCUGCUUUGGGUGCCUCAGGGAGUGAUGAUAAACAGUCCCAAAAGGCCAGCUCAAGCUCUUUAGCAGCAAUCCUUAGUGCGAUUGUUGUGUCUGCAGUGGGAGCAAUCGCUGGAUACUUCACCUAUCAACAGAAGAAGCUGUGCUUCAAAAAUAGACAGGAAGCAGACCCUGAGGCUCCACACAAAGCUGAUGCAGCAGAGGCUCGGUCAGAUCCCCAGGGUAUGACACACACACACACACACACACACACACACAACGAAAACGUAAAGAACACAUUUUUUGAUAUAAAUAUUUACAUGUAG